UGGGGAAUAUUGGACAAUGGGCGAAAGCCUGAUCCAGCCAUGCCGCGUGUGUGAAGAAGGUCUUCGGAUUGUAAAGCACUUUAAGUUGGGAGGAAGGGCAUUAACCUAAUACGUUAGUGUUUUGACGUUACCGACGGAAUAAGCACCGGCUAACUCUGUGCCAGCAGCCGCGGUAAUACAGAGGGUGCAAGCGUUAAUCGGAAUUACUGGGCGUAAAGCGCGCGUAGGUGGUUUGUUAAGUUGGAUGUGAAAUCCCCGGGCUCAACCUGGGAACUGCAUUCAAAACUGACUGACUAGAGUAUGGUAGAGGGUGGUGGAAUUUCCUGUGUAGCGGUGAAAUGCGUAGAUAUAGGAAGGAACACCAGUGGCGAAGGCGACCACCUGGACUAAUACUGACACUGAGGUGCGAAAGCGUGGGGAGCAAACA
RNAcentral lists this ribosomal RNA (427 nucleotides) under uncultured bacterium. RNAcentral's name for it is "partial 16S ribosomal RNA". It matches the Rfam family "Bacterial small subunit ribosomal RNA", at positions 355 to 774 of the family's 1533-position model. The record is from RNAcentral.